This 430-nucleotide ribosomal RNA is filed under the name uncultured bacterium. RNAcentral describes it as "bacterial SSU rRNA". It matches the Rfam family "Bacterial small subunit ribosomal RNA", at positions 917 to 1350 of the family's 1533-position model. The record is from RNAcentral.
GGGCCCGCACAAGCGGUGGAGCAUGUGGUUUAAUUCGAUGAUACGCGAGGAACCUUACCAGGGCUUAAAUGUAACGGGACAGAUCUAGAGAUAGAUCCUUCUUCGGACUCAUUACAAGGUGCUGCAUGGUUGUCGUCAGCUCGUGCCGUGAGGUGUCAGGUUAAGUCCUAUAACGAGCGCAACCCCCAUCGUUAGUUGCCAACGAGUAAUGUCGGGAACUCUAACGAAACUGCCGGUGCAAACCGUGAGGAAGGUGGGGAUGACGUCAAAUCAUCACGGCCCUUACGUCCUGGGCUACACACGUGCUACAAUGGUCGGUACAGAGAGCAGCCACUACGCGAGUAGGAGCAAAUCUUCAAAGCCGAUCUCAGUUCGGAUUGAAGUCUGCAACUCGACUUCAUGAAGUUGGAAUCGCUAGUAAUCGGAUAUC